This is a non-coding RNA of Pimephales promelas (fathead minnow), 291 nucleotides long. Lineage: Eukaryota; Metazoa; Chordata; Actinopteri; Cypriniformes; Leuciscidae. The record is from RefSeq and is a predicted model, not a curated record.
CUUUAAACAGAUAAUUAUAGAUGACAUCUUUAUAGAUGUCAUGCGGGGAGUGUUAUGUUAAUUGGACUAAGCAUUUUAGGUUUUUUAUUUGGGACUCUAAUUUUGAAAAAAUUACCUUACUGAGCAGGGAGCAGCCAUUUUAGUUUCAGUUUCGCUCAACUCUCUCAAGCAUUAAGCUCCAUGUGACUGCUGCUCCAGUUUUCUUUAAUGUUUAUGCCUUCGAAAGCAUUGUCAUUUCACUCUUCUUUGAAUCAUAUUGGAGUAAACAUCAGGAGUUUUUCUUGGAAAACU